GGGGAGAGUUUGAUCCUGGCUCAGAUUGAACGCUGGCGGCAUGCCUUACACAUGCAAGUCGAACGGUAACGGGCCUUCGGGUGCCGACGAGUGGCGAACGGGUGAGUAAUACAUCGGAACGUACCGUGUAGUGGGGGAUAACGUAGCGAAAGUUACGCUAAUACCGCAUACGAUCCACGGAUGAAAGCAGGGGACCUUCGGGCCUUGUGCUAUACGAGCGGCCGAUGUCUGAUUAGCUAGUUGGUGAGGUAAAGGCUCACCAAGGCGACGAUCAGUAGCGGGUCUGAGAGGAUGAUCAGCCACACUGGGACUGAGACAGGGCCCAGACUCCUACGGGAGGCAGCAGUGGGGAAUAUUGGACAAUGGGCGAAAGCCUGAUCCAGCCAUGCCGCGUGAGUGAUGAAGGCCCUAGGGUUGUAAAGCUCUUUCAGUGGGGAAGAUAAUGACGGUACCCACAGAAGAAGCCCCGGCUAACUUCGUGCCAGCAGCCGCGGUAA
RNAcentral lists this ribosomal RNA (497 nucleotides) under uncultured bacterium. RNAcentral's name for it is "bacterial SSU rRNA". It matches the Rfam family "Bacterial small subunit ribosomal RNA", at positions 1 to 523 of the family's 1533-position model. The record is from RNAcentral.